CCUACGGGGUGCAGCAGUGGGGAAUUUUGCGCAAUGCUCGUAAGAGUGACGCAGCGACGCCGCGUGAAUGACGAAGGCCUUCGGGUCGUAAAGUUCUUUCGACAGGGAAGAAAAUGCAUAUAAGUAACUGUGUAUGUAUUGACGGUACCCGAAGAAAAAGCAUCGGCUAACUCCGUGCCAGCAGCCGCGGUAAUACGGAGGAUGCGAGCGUUAUCCGGAUUUAUUGGGUUUAAAGGGUGCGCAGGCGGAUUGUUAAGUCAGCGGUCAAAUCGUGGGGCUAAACCCCAUCCAGCCGUUGAAACUGGGGAUCUAGAGUGUGCGAGAGGUAUGCGGAAUGCGUGGUGUAGCGGUGAAAUGCAUAGAUAUCACGCAGAACCCCGAUUGCGAAGGCAGCAUACCGGUGCACAACUGACGCUCAGGCACGAAAGCGUGGGUAUCGAACAGGAGUAGAUACCCUGGUAGUC
Molecule: ribosomal RNA, 464 nt
Filed under: uncultured bacterium
Lineage: Bacteria
Description: partial 16S ribosomal RNA
Rfam family: Bacterial small subunit ribosomal RNA
Source: RNAcentral